This is an RNA transcript of Carlito syrichta (Philippine tarsier), 2027 nucleotides long. It is a transcript of the gene named 14-3-3 protein theta pseudogene, with no coding region annotated. NCBI's taxonomy places the organism in Eukaryota, Metazoa, Chordata, Mammalia, Primates, Tarsiidae. The transcript is spliced from 2 exons. The record is from RefSeq and is a predicted model, not a curated record.
AUGAUAUUGAAAAGUUCUGCGGAGACACUGGCGGUGGUCUUCCUUUCCUGCUACAGUCUCUUUCUUUCUGUAUUUGUGUGUUCAUUUGCAUGUGGCUUUGGAAUAUCAAAGAAGAGGUCAGUUCUACACAAAGGGAGGCUUCCUUUAAAAAUCCCAAAUCUGAGAUCAAAGUGGUGGGACUCGCUUCGCGGCCGUGGAGUCGUGAAGCUCUCGAGGAGGACUCCUCCCGAUCCGGGUCGGCGCUCGCCCGAGCUCUCCGCGUCCCGGCCCCGGCCCCGCGCCGCCCGCCCACCCGCCGUGGAGAAGACGGAGCUGACCCAGAAGGCCAAGCUGGCCGAGCAGGCCGAGCGCUACGACGACAUGGCCGCUUGCAUGAAGGCCUGACCGAGCAGUGCGCCGAGCGGUCCAACAAGGAGCGCAACCUACAGGCACGUGGUCGGGGCCGCAGGUCCGCCUGGAGGGUCAUCUCGAGCAUCGAGCAGAAAACCGACACCUCUGACAAGAAGUUGCAGCCGAUUAAGGACUAUCAGGAGAAAGUGGAGUCGGAGCUGAGAUCCAUCUGCACCACGUCCUGGAAUUGUUGGAUGAGUAUUUAAUAGCCAAUGCAACUAGUCCAGAGAGUAAGGUCUUCUAUCUGAAAAUGAAGGGAGCUUGCUUUCGUCUUUCGGUACCCUGCUGAAGUUGCAUGUGGUGAUGACCGAAAACAAGCGAUAGCUGCUUCCCAAGGAGCUAGCCAAGCGGCCUUUGACACAAGCAAGAAAGAGAUGCAGCCUACACAUCCAGUCCGCCUUGGGCUGGCUCUUAACUUGUCGGUAGUUUACUAUGAGACCCUUAAAAAUCCAGAGCUUGCCUGCACACUGGCUAAAACGGCUUUUGAGGAGGCCAUUGCAGAACUUGAUACAAAGGCAGCGCCCUCACCAUGCAGCUGCUUAGAGACAACCUAACACUAUGGACAUCAGACUGUGCGGCGAAGAAUGGGAUGCAGCAGAAGGGGCCGAGAACUAAGUGCAUACAGGGUGUCGUCCUUCUUCCCGUCAAUAAACCUUUUUACACAUCUCCAUUCCUUAUUCCACUUGGAUUUCCUGUAGCAAAGAACCCACUCAUGUGUAUGGAAUCAACUGUGUAUCGUCUUUUCACACUGCAUCUUUGGGAAAAGUCCAUUCCUUGAUUUGUGUUUGUCUUGGCCUUCCUGGUGUGCAGUCACUGCUGUAGAAAAGUAUUAAUAACUUCGUUUCAUAUAAACAUAAGUAACUUCCAAACACUUAUGUAGAGGACUAAGAAUGUAUCUGGUAUUAAGUAAUCUGAACCAGUUCUGCAAGUGACUGUGUUUUGUAUUAUUGUGAAGAUAUGAAAAUGUAGUUAAUUACAAUUUAAAGAGUGUUCUACAUAACUUCUUAAUUUCUACAUUCCCUCCCUUAUUCUUCAGGGGUUUCCUUUCAGUAAGCAACUUUUCCAUGCUCUUAAUGUAUUCCUUUUUAGUAGGAAUCCAGAAGUAUUAGAUUGAAUGGAAAAGCACUUGACAUUUCUGGGCUGGGGGUCACAAAUUGAAAUGCCUCUGAUAUCAUGUAUUCUGGAGGUAGUGUAUAUCUGUGACAACAGGGAGUUUCCUUAUUCACUCUUCAUUUGCUGCUGUUUUAAGUUGACAACUUCCCUUCCCAAAUAAAAAUUCACUUACACCUCCUGCCUUUGUAGUUCUGGUAUUCACUGUACUAUGUACUAGAAGUAGCAUGUUGCUGCCAGAAUACAAGCAUUGCUUUUGGCAAAUUAAAAUGCAUGUCAUUUCCUCAUACACUAGAAAGGGGAAAUAGAGUACACAAGUCCAAGUCUAAAACUUUAGUACUUUGCCAUGCAGAUUUGUGCACAUGUGAGAGGGUGUCCAGUUUGUCUAGUGAUUGUUAUUUAGAAAGUUGGACCACUAUUGUGUGUUGCUAAUCAUUGAUUGUAGUCCCAAAAAAGCCUUGUGAAAAUGUUAUGCCCGAUGUAACAGCAGAGCAACAUACAAUAAAAUUACAUUUUAUAAACCAAAA